This 253-nucleotide ribosomal RNA is filed under the name uncultured bacterium. RNAcentral describes it as "partial 16S ribosomal RNA". It matches the Rfam family "Bacterial small subunit ribosomal RNA", at positions 524 to 776 of the family's 1533-position model. The record is from RNAcentral.
UACGUAGGGUGCGAGCGUUAAUCGGAAUUACUGGGCGUAAAGCGUGCGCAGGCGGUUUUGUAAGCCAGAUGUGAAAUCCCCGGGCUUAACCUGGGAAUGGCAUUUGGGACUGCAAGGCUUGAGUUUGGCAGAGGAGACUGGAAUUCCUGGUGUAGCAGUGAAAUGCGUAGAUAUCAGGAGGAACACCGGUGGCGAAGGCGGGUCUCUGGGCAAUUCCUGACGCUGAGGCGCGAAAGCGUGGGGAGCAAACGGG